RNAcentral lists this ribosomal RNA (492 nucleotides) under uncultured bacterium. Its description in RNAcentral is "partial 16S ribosomal RNA". It matches the Rfam family "Bacterial small subunit ribosomal RNA", at positions 28 to 507 of the family's 1533-position model. The record is from RNAcentral.
GAUGAACGCUGGCGGCGUGCCUAAUACAUGCAAGUCGAACGAAACUUCUUUAUCACCGAGUGCUUGCACUCACCGAUAAAGAGUUGAGUGGCGAACGGGUGAGUAACACGUGGGCAACCUGCCCAAAAGAGGGGGAUAACACUUGGAAACAGGUGCUAAUACCGCAUAACCAUAGUUACCGCAUGGUAACUAUGUAAAAGGUGGCUAUACUACCGCUUGUGGAUGGGCCCGCGGCGCAUUAGCUAGUUGGUAGGGUAAAGGCUUACCAAGGCAAUGAUGGGUAGCCGGCAUGAGAGGGUGACCGGCCAAAGUGGGACUGAGAUACGGCCCAGACUCAUACGGGAGGCAGCAGUGGGGAAGAGUGCAAAAUGGGCGGAAGACGGAUGCAGCAAGGCGGCGUGCGGGAUGACGGCCUUCGGGUUGUAACCCGAUUUCGCCGGUGACGAAGCGUGAGGGACGGUAAUGGGUAAAGAAGCACAGGCUAACUACGUG